GGUGUGUAGCUCAGUGGCAGAGCGGCGGCUUCCAAACCCGCGCGCCGGGGGUUCGAUUCCCUCCACACCCG
This 71-nucleotide transfer RNA is filed under the name Streptomyces sp. MBT54. RNAcentral describes it as "tRNA-Trp". It matches the Rfam family "tRNA". From Rfam's summary of the family: Transfer RNA (tRNA) molecules are approximately 80 nucleotides in length. Their secondary structure includes four short double-helical elements and three loops (D, anti-codon, and T loops). Lineage: Bacteria; Bacillati; Actinomycetota; Actinomycetes; Kitasatosporales; Streptomycetaceae. The record is from RNAcentral. RNAcentral also lists the same sequence under 3 other names.